GACGAACGCUGGCGGCGUGCCUAAUACAUGCAAGUAGAACGCUGAAGGAGGAGCUUGCUUCUCUGGAUGAGUUGCGAACGGGUGAGUAACGCGUAGGUAACCUGCCUGGUAGCGGGGGAUAACUAUUGGAAACGAUAGCUAAUACCGCAUAAGAGUAGAUGUUGCAUAACAUUUGCUUAAAAGGUGCAAUUGCAUCACUACCAGAUGGACCUGCGUUGUAUUAGCUAGUUGGUGGGGUAACGGCUCACCAAGGCAACGAUACAUAGCCGACCUGAGAGGGUGAUCGGCCACACUGGGACUGAGACACGGCCCAGACUCCUACGGGAGGCAGCAGUAGGGAAUCUUCGGCAAUGGACGGAAGUCUGACCGAGCAACGCCGCGUGAGUGAAGAAGGUUUUCGGAUCGUAAAGCUCUGUUGUAAGAGAAGAACGAGUGUGAGAGUGGAAAGUUCACACUGUGACGGUAUCUUACCAGAAAGGACGGCUAACUAC
Molecule: ribosomal RNA, 491 nt
Filed under: Streptococcus mitis
Lineage: Bacteria; Bacillati; Bacillota; Bacilli; Lactobacillales; Streptococcaceae
Description: bacterial SSU rRNA
Rfam family: Bacterial small subunit ribosomal RNA
Source: RNAcentral